Molecule: long non-coding RNA, 221 nt
Filed under: Mytilus galloprovincialis (Mediterranean mussel)
Lineage: Eukaryota; Metazoa; Mollusca; Bivalvia; Mytilida; Mytilidae
Source: RNAcentral
AAAAAAAAAAUCGGGGUAACAAACUAACACUGAGGGAAACGCAUUAAGUAUUAGAGGAGAACAACGACACAACAUUAAAAUGUAACACACACAGCAACGGACUAAGCAUUAGACAAAAUCCGAUGAGAAUAACCAAUAUAACAUCAAAACCAAAUACAUGAAUUUGGGAUAGAAAAGUACCGUGACACGUCUUAUAGUUAUGUGAAUUCACACUCAAAUAU